UAGACCCAGAGAAGUUCAGAGCUAGGAUGCGCAAUCAACAGCAAGAAAAGUUGAUUAAUGCCGACUUGAUGAAGAGUCAGCGAAUCUGCCAUCAAAUGGACUCAAAAGCUGAAUUAAAUGAACCUGUGGAACCAUGGUUUUUGGCCAAGUAUG
Molecule: long non-coding RNA, 153 nt
Organism: Penaeus monodon (black tiger shrimp)
Lineage: Eukaryota; Metazoa; Arthropoda; Malacostraca; Decapoda; Penaeidae
Exons: 3
Source: RefSeq, a predicted model, not a curated record